This 391-nucleotide ribosomal RNA is filed under the name uncultured bacterium. RNAcentral describes it as "bacterial SSU rRNA". It matches the Rfam family "Bacterial small subunit ribosomal RNA", at positions 29 to 446 of the family's 1533-position model. The record is from RNAcentral.
AACGAACGCUGGCGGCAUGCCUAACACAUGCAAGUCGAACGAAUGGUUUCGGCCAUUAGUGGCGCACGGGUGAGUAACGCGUGGGAAUCUGCCCAGCAGUGGGGGAUAACCUCUGGAAACGGAGGCUAAUACCGCAUACGCCCCUCGGGGGAAAGGCUUGCUGCUGCUGGAGGAGCCCGCGUCGGAUUAGGUAGUUGGUGGGGUAACGGCCUACCAAGCCUGUGAUCCGUAGCUGGUCUGAGAGGAUGAUCAGCCACACUGGGACUGAGACACGGCCCAGACUCCUACGGGAGGCAGCAGUGGGGAAUAUUGCGCAAUGGGCGGAAGCCUGACGCAGCCAACCCGCGUGUGUGAUGAAGGCCUCGGUUGUAAGUACACUGUCGUGAGGGAA